GUUUUAUUCUUAUUAUGGCAUGUUUAUUCUUAUCGUAAUACUUUCCUCGGCGUCAUCUUAUGCCGGGAAUUGUACAUCCUUCGUAUCGCUAUCACACAAUUUUUCGGAAUCGCUGAUAUCAUCCCCGAUUGACCUCACCGUAGCCAUGAAAGCCAUGAAAUUGAAUAUUGAAAGCAAAAAGAUUUGCCCUAAAUGCUCCAAAACAUUGUGCAACGGAUAUAGUUUGGAACGUCAUCUUAAGAAUGUCUGCGGCAAACCUCGUAAUCCCAAUGGCAAGUUCCAGUGCGAGAGAUGUAAUGAUAGGUACUACCAGAGUAGAGGCAGCCUAACGCGUCAUCAAACAUUUGAGUGCCGCGUACCGGCCCGCUUUAAAUGUUUUUUCUGUCUUAAGCUGUUUCAUCAGAAGACCGUCUUAGAGAGACAUAUCAAGAAAUAUUGCAAGAAUGUGAUUCAACAGACGCGCUGAUGCUUCUACGUCCAACUACCAGCCAAUAAGAAUGCAUUGUUUGUAACCGAGAAAUCUUCCCUACUCCACAUAAUGAACAUUGAAAUCGGUCUAUUCGUCGAUCUGCUCGAUGGUAAUAGCAAUCUUGUCAUCAAGUGAAUCACGAUUCGUACGGAGAGUGGAGGAAGGUUUACGCGGUGCAGUGACGUUGGGACUUUUAUUCUUGCCAAGAAAUUCGUAGACCGAUUGGAAAAACGUAAAACGACGGAUUUGCAAUAAGUAUAGUCAGCACUUCCACGACAAAAUAAAUCAGUGAUUCCUGCCGAAUCGGGUCCACUUUGAAAAGUUGCUCGUACAGAACAAUACUCGAAAAAUGUUAAAAAUGAGAUACUAUAAUUAUCGCUUAAGAAUAUAUUGAGAAAAUUAGGAGAAGAAAAAUAGUGUUAUUUCAAACUGUAAGCAAUAGAGUUCCUUGAGAAAAAUAAAUUCUAUUGAUAAAAUGGGCCUUAAUAUCGAUCAGGAAUUGAAGUUUUCGUUAUUUGGGAAAAGAAGUGAAAACUCUGGAUAGUUCUAGAGUGCGAAGAGAUUCCUCGUAAAGAAAGUUCUUUCACAUAAGCGUUUCUAAUGUAUGUCUUUAUUGAUAAAAGAGGGUUUUUUGUCUCGAAUUAUCGCAUCGGGACGAUCUCGGGAAUGUUAGUUUUUAAAGAAAAUCGGAAGAAUUCACUUUCCAAUUUCUAAGAAUAUUCUUUUCAUUAAGGACAAGAGUUCGGACAUCGGUUUAGAAGGGAAGAAAUAUGUAUUGUUCGAGAACUUUGUCUUAGAUUAACAUGUUAAAUGCUAUGAAAAUCACUGGUGACCAGCAUUCAAUUUUUCAGAGAGAGAGAGAGAGAGAGAGAGAGAG
Molecule: long non-coding RNA, 1346 nt
Organism: Formica exsecta
Lineage: Eukaryota; Metazoa; Arthropoda; Insecta; Hymenoptera; Formicidae
Exons: 2
Source: RefSeq, a predicted model, not a curated record